AGUAAGCUAAUCUCUUAAAGCCGUUCUCAGUUCGGACUGUAGGCUGCAACUCGCCUACACGAAGUCGGAAUCGCUAGUAAUCGCGGAUCAGCAUGCCGCGGUGAAUACGUUCCCGGGCCUUGUACACACCGCCCGUCACACCAUGGGAGUUUGUAACGCCCAAAGUCGGUGGCCUAACCUCUAUGGAGGGAGCCGCCUAAGGCGGGACAGAUGACUGGGGUGAAGUCGUAACAAGGUAAC
This 240-nucleotide ribosomal RNA is filed under the name uncultured bacterium. Its description in RNAcentral is "partial 16S ribosomal RNA". It matches the Rfam family "Bacterial small subunit ribosomal RNA", at positions 1262 to 1500 of the family's 1533-position model. The record is from RNAcentral.